RNAcentral lists this unclassified non-coding RNA (334 nucleotides) under soil metagenome. RNAcentral's name for it is "partial contains 5.8S ribosomal RNA, internal transcribed spacer 2, and large subunit ribosomal RNA". The stretch from base 1 to 120 matches the Rfam family "5.8S ribosomal RNA", at positions 35 to 154 of the family's 154-position model. The record is from RNAcentral.
GAUGAAGAACGGAGCGAAAUGCGAUAAGUAAUGUGAAUUGCAGAAUUCAGUGAAUCAUCGAAUCUUUGAACGCACAUUGCGCCCGCCAGUAUUCUGGCGAGCAUGCCUGUUCGAGCGUCAUUUCAACCAUCAAGCCCCAGGCUUGUGUUGGAGCCCUGCGGCUGCCGCAGCCUCCCAAAACCAGUGGCGGGCUCGCUAUCACACCGAGUGCAGUAGUUUACUCUUCGCUCAGGGCGUGUGGCGGGUGCUAGCCGUGAAACCCCCAACUUCUCAAGGUUGACCUCGGAUCAGGUAGGAAUACCCGCUGAACUUAAGCAUAUCAAUAAGCGGAGGA